RNAcentral lists this ribosomal RNA (993 nucleotides) under Companilactobacillus paralimentarius. Its description in RNAcentral is "bacterial SSU rRNA". It matches the Rfam family "Bacterial small subunit ribosomal RNA", at positions 378 to 1365 of the family's 1533-position model. The record is from RNAcentral. Lineage: Bacteria; Bacillati; Bacillota; Bacilli; Lactobacillales; Lactobacillaceae.
AGAGUCUGAUGGAGCAUGCCGCGUGAGUGAAGAAGGUUUUCGGAUCGUAAAACUCUGUUGUUGAAGAAGAACAUAUGUGAGAGUAACUGUUCACGUACUGACGGUAUUCAACCAGAAAGCCACGGCUAACUACGUGCCAGCAGCCGCGGUAAUACGUAGGUGGCAAGCGUUGUCCGGAUUUAUUGGGCGUAAAGAGAAUGUAGGCGGUUUAUUAAGUUUGAAGUGAAAGCCCUCGGCUCAACCGAGGAAGUGCUUCGAAAACUGGUAAACUUGAGUGCAGAAGAGGAAAGUGGAACUCCAUGUGUAGCGGUGGAAUGCGUAGAUAUAUGGAAGAACACCAGUGGCGAAGGCGGCUUUCUGGUCUGUAACUGACGCUGAGAUUCGAAAGCAUGGGUAGCAAACAGGAUUAGAUACCCUGGUAGUCCAUGCCGUAAACGAUGAGUGCUAAGUGUUGGAGGGUUUCCGCCCUUCAGUGCUGCAGCUAACGCAUUAAGCACUCCGCCUGGGGAGUACGAUCGCAAGAUUGAAACUCAAAGGAAUUGACGGGGGCCCGCACAAGCGGUGGAGCAUGUGGUUUAAUUCGAAGCAACGCGAAGAACCUUACCAGGUCUUGACAUACCAUGAAAAGCUUAGAGAUAAGUCUUUCCCUUCGGGGACAUGGAUACAGGUGGUGCAUGGUUGUCGUCAGCUCGUGUCGUGAGAUGUUGGGUUAAGUCCCGCAACGAGCGCAACCCUUAUUAUCAGUUGCCAGCAUUCAGUUGGGCACUCUGGUGAGACUGCCGGUGAUAAACCGGAGGAAGGUGGGGACGACGUCAAAUCAUCAUGCCCCUUAUGACCUGGGCUACACACGUGCUACAAUGGUCGGUACAACGUGCUGCGAACUCGCGAGGGUAAGCAAAUCACUUAAAACCGAUCUCAGUUCGGAUUGUAGGCUGCAACUCGCCUACAUGAAGCUGGAAUCGCUAGUAAUCGCGGAUCAGCAUGCCGCGGUGA